UCAAAGCUAACCAAAGCAAAGUGAUUAAGUGCUUUUCUGGAUCAAAGCUAGAGUUCUCAGCACCUUGCAGGAUUGAACCCUAUGCUCACAAACUCACUGUCCAGAUCCAUUACUCAAACUCUAGGAGAUGGAUGUAUUCUACUUAUAGAGGAGCUGUUGGGGCUACUUCUUGAGGCCUGACUAGAGCUCCCAGGACUGCUGCUGACCAAGAUGCUGAGGAGUUGCUGGGUCUCCCUAGGCUACUGGCUGACUGAGAAGCAGCUGCCUGUGGACUGGUCAGAGCUCCCUGAGAUGACAGAUGUGGGUACACCUGAAGGAGAGAGUAGGAAGCACCUCAGGGAAACCAGGAACAGUCUGAUUGGGAGCUGACCUGAUACAAGGUCAGUGUGUUGUGGGUGGAUCCCUGCUAACUCAAUGGCAGACCACUCUGCCGCUGGGCUGGGGCAUGGUGGAGUUGGGUGGGCCCAUGUUCCCCCUGCCACUCCACCCCUGGGAUGGCAGUAUCCCCCUCCUUAGGCCAGGGAGCCUGUGCUCCUCUGACCAUACCUGAGCCCCAUACACUACUUAGCUGCUCUGCCAUGAUUGUGGGCCAGGGCCCACUCAUUGCUUUGCUGCCCUGCCUGGGGCUCAUAGACUGCCGUACUGUUCUGUCUGGCUGGAGGAUCGGAGCACUAGAUAAAGCUAAUUCUUCCUUUUGAGCUCACCUUUACAGGUAUGUGAUAGUGAGGUGGCAUGGCCUCUCUGAGUGACAGGGAGAGCCAGCCAUAUAGCAUACAAGGUCAAUUUGUCUUCAUAUGCCCCAAAGUAACUUUAAUAAUGUCCACAGUAUUAUGUAAAAUGCAGAUCAGCUUGAGUACAAUCUCCAUACAGUGGACUAGUUUGACCCAUAGUUCUUGGAUGGUAUUUUAGAAGUUAGGUUUCUAAAGGUUUUUUUUCUUUUCUUUUCUUUAAUACACUUCUAAGGUCAAGAGUGAGGCUGUUAGUCCUAGUUGUGUCCUCUUCAAAUUGCCAUUUAAAUGGUGAAUCCCUUUCCAAACAGAUUAUUUUUGUAGACACCAUACUGAGGCUGAAAGUUAAAUCCAUAAAUGGUCUAGUGUCCAGAUAACUCAAACAUUUACUGUUGUGAUAAAAGAUUGAGUUGUAUUUAUAUGUUAGCAGCAGAAAAGCACUCAGUCUCAGCCAUAUGGCUUGGAGGAUCUUUGGAGAAUUUACUAGAUGCUUUGCUAUAAAACACCUGGCAUAAAUUCUCACUGUUUGUACACAUUCCCCAUACUUCAAUACUGUAUAUUCUAGAAACAAGUAUUUUAUUAUGUUUUGAAGACUUGUUAAACACUUGCUUUACUGCAGCACUAGAAGCUUAUAAAUCAAGUCAUUAAUUUUAAAGGUUCCCAGUACAUUGAUUGCUAAACAAACAGCAGGAUGUUUAAACCUUUGCAUCCCAGUGUGCUGCAAAACAUUUCACACACUCCCGUUGCUACACAGCCCUUGUUAUUUCAAACCUGUUGUCUCUGUCCCCCCCUACAAAGAGCAUCUUAGAACUUGCCUUCUCUCCAGCUGUAGAUGGGGCUCAGGUGUGCUCUAGGUACACUGAUGAUUUAACACCAUUUCAGGUACCUCCCUACAGAAGCUGGAUUUCAACAACCACUUGCCUGAAGGAUAGAGAUUUCCAGAAUUUCUAGUGCACAUCAGCUGAAAACAUGUUAAGUGUUUUCUUCCAGGCUCUGUUUAAAUGGGAUACUUUAGUGGAGGAAAACAGGAUGCUUUGUAUUCUUAUAUAGACAUACUUAGGCUCCAAUUCUACAAAUGUUUGUGCACAUACUUAACUACUGUGAGUAGCUGCAUUGAUCUCAAUGCAACAACUCAUGGUAAAACUAAGCAUGUGUGUAAGAGUUUGUAGGAUUGGGGUAUUGGAUUGCAAGCUUCUUCUAUGUUUGUAUAUUGCCUAGCACAGUGGGGGCAUACUCCAUGAUUGGAUAGACAAUGCAAUAAUUUGUAUUAUAGUUUGUCAUAGUUGCUCAUGGAGUCAUGACCUAAACACAGUCUCCUAAAAGAAUGCAGGAAACCACUGUGCUAUACGCCUAUUAAGAAUGAAAAUGCAUACUAUAGAGCUUAAGCUAGGGGGGACCAUUAAAUCCUCUAGAUUGACCUCCUGUGUAUCAGAGUCCCUUAAAUUUCACCCAGUUACUCCUGUAUUCAGUCCAAUAAUUUGUGAUUGACUAAAACAUUUCUUCCAGAAAGGCAUCCAGUCUUGAUCUGAAGAAAUGAAAAAAGAGAAUCCACCACUUCCGUUGAUGGUUUCUUCCAAUGGUUCAUCACCUUCACUGGGGGACUUUUUUUGCCUCAUUUCCAAUUUGAGUUUCUCUGGCUUCAGCUUCCAGCCAUUGAUUCUUAUGCCUUUCUCCACUAGAUUAAAGAGCCUGUUCAUACCCGGGAAGUUCUUGCUAUGAAGGUAUAAUCAAGACACCUCUCAAUCUUCUUUUUCAUAAGGUAAACUUAUUGAGCUCUUUAAGUAUCUCACUGUAAAGCGUCUUCUCCGGCCCUUGAAUAAUUUUUGUGGCUCAACAUGGAGCAGGUGAAGACCAAAUCAAGCUUAAUUUCUGCUGUAAAUGCUUCACUCUUAUGAUUCUAAACCUCCUCACAUGCCAUUUAUUCCCUUGCAGUGGCAGAGUAUAUUACCCAACCCCUGCAAUUCAUUCUGCAUGGAUGGACCCUGCAUAGAAUUUCAUGGCACCAUGUGUAGGCACAUGGGCCUACGAUAGUAAUUGCAUUCAUUUAUUUAUCCUGUGCUUAGAUGCUAUGCUGCUACUAUGAAAACAUAUGAAAUUAUGGACAUAUAUAGGAAGUAAAACUUCUGCCUAGGGAAAGGCGCAGUUGUGGAUAGUUUUUAUACACAUUGAAUUAAAAAGGUGUGUCGAGGAAUUGCUUAUGUUGAUUCCCUUCCCCCUAAUUUUUGUAUCUGUCUUUAAAGACUGUAAGUUCUUGUACGUCUGUAGUGUCUGGCACAUGUUAGGUGUUACUGUUACUCCUGGGGGAAUUCUGCACGUGCACAGAAUUUGUUUCCCUGCUGAUUCAUUUGCCUGCAGAAAAAUGACUUCUGGUAGGGAAGCCACAAAAGCAGUCAUGCAACUCUCCUCAGCAAUAUGUUUCAGGUGCCCAGGGCAGCUAGCAGAGAGGUAAAUCACUGUGGGGCACAGGUGGGAUUGGGGAAGACCUGGCUGGUGGCUCCUACCCUGCACCAGGCUCAGCUUCUAGUCCCUGCUGGGCUUGGGGGAGACAGAACUUCCUCUUUCCACUGCAUGCCAUUUGGCACUGGGUCAGACCCACCCCCAGAUUUCUCCCCUGCUUGCAGAAAGCUCUGCAAACUCCUUGCCCAUUCCCAUGUGCUUCCUUCCAUCACUCCUCAGCUGCAGGGAGAGAUCCCUGUACAGGGAGCUGCUCCCCCAUCUGUACAUCCAGCCCCUCCUGCACCUUGGUUUCCCCCCCCCCCCCCCCCCAAAUGAGCCCCACUCCUCCUGGACCACCCUCACAAGCUGACCACACCUGGAUCUUUCCACCCCAACCAGCUGCACCUGGAUCCCAACUUCAUUGAGCCCCAUUCCCCCCCAGCAUCUGGGCCCCCCACACUCAGACCUCCCCGAGCAUCUGGGCCCCCCUGCAGAAUCCCAUUAUCAUUGCACCCAGAACCCCACAAGCCCCUGUCCAUCUGGAUUCCCCCCACUGAGCUGCCCUCACCCAGACUGCCCCACACAGAACGUACUCAACUCACACCUGGAUUCCCUCCACACUUGGCUCCUGCUUUGCAGGCAGGCACCUAGUACAGAGGGACAGGGCUCUGUGGUGUCUCUGGGGCAGGCCCAGUCCUUGCACUGUGUCAGGGUUGCAUGCAGCCUCACCACGGAGUUUACAUCCCAGGAUAGGGGAGCUGCACAGUGAUCUCCCACCUCUGUGCAGCCAGUGGCCUGUGUUUCCACAGUGCUAUGCUGGAGACACUUUUUUUUUGACCAAUAAAAUUUGCAGAAUUUUAAAAUUUUUGGCACAGAAUACUCUCAAGAGUAAAAUUAGCAGAACAAUAACUUUACUGGCAAGGACCUGCUAGGUUCCUUAUACAAGUCCAGAGGAGAUGUAUACAGGAAGGACAUAAUUUAUCUAAAUGCUACAGUAACAGGCACCCUCAAAUACUUUGAUUGUGAAAGGUGAGUGAACAGAAAGGAGAGAUGGCUUGUACUAUUUCUAGCAGAUCAGCUGAAGGGCAUGAUGACCAAAGGAUGAGUAUGCUCUCUGAGGAAAGGACAGCAACAGUGAGAACCCUGUUGGUAGGACCAAAGUUUCCUCCCUUUCUGUACAGAAUGUAGUGCAGCCUCCGACAGGCCAUGCUUUCUAUCUCUGAAAGUAAUGGUUUUCACUUUUGAUGUCAUCCAGCUUGCAAU
This is a long non-coding RNA of Chelonia mydas (Green sea turtle), 4427 nucleotides long. RefSeq lists it as uncharacterized. The record is from RefSeq and is a predicted model, not a curated record. The transcript is spliced from 2 exons. Lineage: Eukaryota; Metazoa; Chordata; Testudines; Cheloniidae.